Molecule: ribosomal RNA, 447 nt
Filed under: uncultured soil bacterium
Lineage: Bacteria
Description: bacterial SSU rRNA
Rfam family: Bacterial small subunit ribosomal RNA
Source: RNAcentral
AGAACGAACGCUGGCGGCAUGCCUAAUACAUGCAAGUCGAACGAACACUUCGGUGUUAGUGGCGCACGGGUGCGUAACGCGUGGGAAUCUGCCCCUUGGUUCGGAAUAACAGUUGGAAACGACUGCUAAUACCGGAUGAUGACGAAAGUCCAAAGAUUUAUCGCCAAGGGAUGAGCCCGCGUAGGAUUAGCUAGUUGGUGAGGUAAAGGCUCACCAAGGCAACGAUCCUUAGCUGGUCUGAGAGGAUGAUCAGCCACACUGGGACUGAGACACGGCCCAGACUCCUACGGGAGGCAGCAGUAGGGAAUAUUGGACAAUGGGCGAAAGCCUGAUCCAGCAAUGCCGCGUGAGUGAUGAAGGCCUUAGGUUGUAAAGCUCUUUUACCGAGUAUGAUAAUGACAGUAGUCGGAGAAGUAAGCCCCGGCUAACCUCCGUGCCAGCAGCCGC